UGGACAGAUUAUUGUAUUCGACUGUAUUUACGGCGUGAAAUAGGGGAUUACACUGUUUUUAAAUGAAAAGUGAAUCAAUUAACAUAAUAGACUCCU
RNAcentral lists this microRNA precursor (96 nucleotides) under Nicotiana attenuata. Its description in RNAcentral is "MIR6152 microRNA precursor family". It matches the Rfam family "MIR6152 microRNA precursor family". The record is from Rfam by way of RNAcentral. Lineage: Eukaryota; Viridiplantae; Streptophyta; Magnoliopsida; Solanales; Solanaceae.